CCUCAAGUUCAUCAAUUUGUAACUUCCUAUGUUGUCCAGCCUCAUCUAGAUCCAUGUUUAGCUUUUUGAUGGCCCACAUAGCUCUAUGUUCAAGCUCUACUGGCAAGUGACAUGCUUUACCAAACACAAGCCUGUAAGGAGACAUUCCUAAGUUGGUUUUGAAGGCAGUGCGAUAUGCCCAAAGAGCAUCUACUAGCUUCAAUGACCAAUCUUUUCUAUUGGUGCU
Molecule: long non-coding RNA, 226 nt
Filed under: Elaeis guineensis (African oil palm)
Lineage: Eukaryota; Viridiplantae; Streptophyta; Magnoliopsida; Arecales; Arecaceae
Description: long non-coding RNA (EGUI_LNC001538)
Source: RNAcentral